Molecule: long non-coding RNA, 989 nt
Filed under: Equus caballus (horse)
Lineage: Eukaryota; Metazoa; Chordata; Mammalia; Perissodactyla; Equidae
Description: lncRNA (ENSECAG00000058472.1)
Source: RNAcentral
AGAGAUCAUGGAAUUGAGGCAGGAAAUGGAAGAAAGCUGAUCAAGAGUGGAUUUUUAAGCUAGUUACUGGGGGUUCAGUCUUUCCAGGGAGCUCUGGGAGACAGUGUAAAAUAUGCCUCAUUCUCCCCACCAAGGAGCCAUGUAGAUGGGGCAGUUAGCCAUCAGAUCCCUCUUCAGCUGUGUCUGAAGGCUGCCUUGAGAGGCAUUAACUCCCUGCCCUGAACACCUGGCCAAAUGUGCGCCGGUGGGCAGAUAAUACAGCCCCAGGUGGAGCCACAGUUGUUCAUAAUAAGCAACCUUCCCUGUAGAGGUGAAGACCAAGGAGAUGGGGCAGAGCCCAGAAGCAUCUACUAGAAGAAUGUUGGGUUUACAGUGAAGGCACACGGAGGGGAUUCCUAGCUUGGGUGAUCAACAAAGACUUCAUAGAGAAGAGCUUUCUAGGCUGGAACAAUGGCACAGUGUUUGGGAGAAUGCAGUAUUUCAAUGAAGAAUAUUAGAAGAGCAUCUACAAAUCCCAGACUGGUGUGUGCAAGUUCUGAGGAAUGGUGGGGCAACCCAAUGUGUUUGGGCGACCUUCAGAGACAUCUGGGACAGAGCCACAACAGGGCAAUGACUGACACCCAACUCACAGCCUGACUUCUCCAGAAGGAUAACCCUGCUCCCAGGGUGGAGGGUGAAGCAGACAGGCCUGAACUCAAUGCAGGAAGACCAUUCAGCAGGCUUGGGCUUCAUCCAGGCACGAGGGGAUAGGAACUUCCACGUGGCAAGGUCCCUCAGGACAGGGGCUGGCGGAGUUCCAUCCAGCAACAGCCUGACCAAACGUAACUUGCACACUCCUGUAUUCCCCAGACCCCGACUAGUGGGAUUUAGAAACGAAAUAAAUCUAUAAAUGCCUACCGGAGAACACCUCUACAUUUUCCUGCCUCCAACCAAGCUAAGAAUGCAUGCCCAAUGACAGGAAAUGCUGUCUGGGGAUUGCUUUAUAAACA